UACAGAGGGUGCGAGCGUUAAUCGGAAUUACUGGGCGUAAAGGGUGCGUAGGUGGUCUUUUAAGUCAGAUGUGAAAACCCUGGGCUUAACCUAGGAAUGGCAUUUGAUACUGGAAGACUAGAGUUCGGAAGAGGAAAGUGGAAUUUCAGGUGUAGCGGUGAAAUGCGUAGAUAUCUGAAGGAACAUCAGUGGCGAAGGCGACUUUCUGGUCCGAUACUGACACUGAGGCACGAAAGCGUGGGGAGCAAACAGG
This 253-nucleotide ribosomal RNA is filed under the name uncultured bacterium. RNAcentral describes it as "partial 16S ribosomal RNA". It matches the Rfam family "Bacterial small subunit ribosomal RNA", at positions 524 to 776 of the family's 1533-position model. The record is from RNAcentral.